RNAcentral lists this ribosomal RNA (253 nucleotides) under uncultured bacterium. Its description in RNAcentral is "partial 16S ribosomal RNA". It matches the Rfam family "Bacterial small subunit ribosomal RNA", at positions 524 to 776 of the family's 1533-position model. The record is from RNAcentral.
UACGUAGGGUGCAAGCGUUGUCCGGAAUCAUUGGGCGUAAAGAGCGUGUAGGCGGCCCGAUCAGUCCGCUGUAAAAGUCCAGGGCUCAACCCUGGAAAGCCGGUGGAUACUGUCAGGCUAGAGUCCGGAAGGGGCGAGUGGAAUUCCUGGUGUAGCGGUGAAAUGCGCAGAUAUCAGGAGGAACACCAAUGGCGAAGGCAGCUCGCUGGGACGGUACUGACGCUGAGACGCGAAAGCGUGGGGAGCAAACAGG